RNAcentral lists this ribosomal RNA (1256 nucleotides) under Vibrio cholerae. RNAcentral's name for it is "partial 23S ribosomal RNA". It matches the Rfam family "Bacterial large subunit ribosomal RNA", at positions 1449 to 2690 of the family's 2925-position model. The record is from RNAcentral. Lineage: Bacteria; Pseudomonadati; Pseudomonadota; Gammaproteobacteria; Vibrionales; Vibrionaceae.
GACUAUUGCGAUGGGGGGACGGAGAAGGCUAGGUGGGCCAGGCGACGGUUGUCCUGGUUCAAGUGCGUAGGCUUGAGAGUUAGGUAAAUCCGGCUCUCUCUAAGGCUGAGACACGACGUCGAGCUACUACGGUAGUGAAGUCAUUGAUGCCAUGCUUCCAGGAAAAGCCUCUAAGCUUCAGAUAGUCAGGAAUCGUACCCCAAACCGACACAGGUGGUCGGGUAGAGAAUACCAAGGCGCUUGAGAGAACUCGGGUGAAGGAACUAGGCAAAAUGGUACCGUAACUUCGGGAGAAGGUACGCUCUUGAUGGUGAAGUCCCUCGCGGAUGGAGCUGACGAGAGUCGCAGAUACCAGGUGGCUGCAACUGUUUAUUAAAAACACAGCACUGUGCAAAAUCGCAAGAUGACGUAUACGGUGUGACGCCUGCCCGGUGCCGGAAGGUUAAUUGAUGGGGUUAGCGCAAGCGAAGCUCUUGAUCGAAGCCCCGGUAAACGGCGGCCGUAACUAUAACGGUCCUAAGGUAGCGAAAUUCCUUGUCGGGUAAGUUCCGACCUGCACGAAUGGCGUAAUGAUGGCCACGCUGUCUCCACCCGAGACUCAGUGAAAUUGAAAUCGCUGUGAAGAUGCAGUGUACCCGCGGCUAGACGGAAAGACCCCGUGAACCUUUACUACAGCUUGGCACUGAACAUUGAACCUACAUGUGUAGGAUAGGUGGGAGGCUAUGAAGACGUGACGCCAGUUGCGUUGGAGCCGUCCUUGAAAUACCACCCUUGUAUGUUUGAUGUUCUAACUUAGACCCGUUAUCCGGGUUGAGGACAGUGCCUGGUGGGUAGUUUGACUGGGGCGGUCUCCUCCCAAAGAGUAACGGAGGAGCACGAAGGUGGGCUAAUCACGGUUGGACAUCGUGAGGUUAGUGCAAUGGCAUAAGCCCGCUUAACUGCGAGAAUGACGGUUCGAGCAGGUGCGAAAGCAGGUCAUAGUGAUCCGGUGGUUCUGUAUGGAAGGGCCAUCGCUCAACGGAUAAAAGGUACUCCGGGGAUAACAGGCUGAUACCGCCCAAGAGUUCAUAUCGACGGCGGUGUUUGGCACCUCGAUGUCGGCUCAUCACAUCCUGGGGCUGAAGUCGGUCCCAAGGGUAUGGCUGUUCGCCAUUUAAAGUGGUACGCGAGCUGGGUUUAGAACGUCGUGAGACAGUUCGGUCCCUAUCUGCCGUGGGCGUUGGAAGAUUGAAGGGGGCUGCUCCUAGUACGAGAGG